UACAGAGGUGGCAAGCGUUGUUCGGAAUUACUGGGCGUAAAGGGCGCGUAGGCGGUCUUGUAAGUCCCGUGUGAAAUCCCUCGGCUCAACUGAGGAACUGCACGGGAAACUGCUUGGCUUGAGUUCGGGAGAGGCGAGUGGAAUUCCCGGUGUAGCGGUGAAAUGCGUAGAGAUCGGGAGGAACACCAGAGGCGAAGGCGGCUCGCUGGAUAGGCACUGACACUCAACUACGAAAGCGUGGGGAGCAAACAGG
RNAcentral lists this ribosomal RNA (253 nucleotides) under uncultured bacterium. RNAcentral's name for it is "partial 16S ribosomal RNA". It matches the Rfam family "Bacterial small subunit ribosomal RNA", at positions 524 to 776 of the family's 1533-position model. The record is from RNAcentral.